Molecule: ribosomal RNA, 301 nt
Filed under: uncultured bacterium
Lineage: Bacteria
Description: partial 16S ribosomal RNA
Rfam family: Bacterial small subunit ribosomal RNA
Source: RNAcentral
CAGUCGCCGCGGUAAUACGAAGGGUGCAAGCGUUACUCGGAAUUACUGGGCGUAAAGCGCGCGUAGGUGGUGGUUUAAGUCCGUUGUGAAAGCCCUGGGCUCAACCUGGGAAUUGCAGUGGAUACUGGGUCACUAGAGUGUGGUAGAGGAUAGUGGAAUUUCCGGUGUAGCAGUGAAAUGCGUAGAGAUCGGAAGGAACAUCUGUGGCGAAGGCGACUAUCUGGGCCAACACUGACACUGAGGCACGAAAGCGUGGGGAGCAAACAGGAUUAGAUACCCCUGUAGUCCCUGUCUCUUAUAC